GACGUAGGGGGCAAGCGUUGUUCGGAAUUAUUGGGCGUAAAGCGCUCGUAGGCGGGACAGGAAGUUCGUGUUGAAAGACCUCGGCUCAACUGAGGGACCGGCUCGAAUACUCUUGUUCUUGAGGCAAUCAGAGGGUGAUGGAAUUCCCGGUGUAGCGGUGAAAUGCGUAGAUAUCAGGAGGAACACCAAUGGCGAAGGCAGAUCUCUGGGUCGUAACUGACGCUGAGGAGCGAAAGCAUGGGGAGCGAACAGG
Molecule: ribosomal RNA, 253 nt
Filed under: uncultured bacterium
Lineage: Bacteria
Description: partial 16S ribosomal RNA
Rfam family: Bacterial small subunit ribosomal RNA
Source: RNAcentral